Molecule: unclassified non-coding RNA, 345 nt
Filed under: soil metagenome
Description: partial contains 5.8S ribosomal RNA, internal transcribed spacer 2, and large subunit ribosomal RNA
Rfam family: 5.8S ribosomal RNA (bases 1-120)
Source: RNAcentral
GAUGAAGAACGUAGCGAAAUGCGAUACGUAAUGUGAAUUGCAGAAUUCAGUGAAUCAUCGAGUCUUUGAACGCACAUUGCGCCCCCUGGUAUUCCGGGGGGCAUGCCUGUCCGAGCGUCAUUGCUGCCCUCAAGCACGGCUUGUGUGUUGGGCCUCCGUCCUCCUCCCGGGGGACGGGCCCGAAAGGCAGCGGCGGCACCGCGUCCGGUCCUCGAGCGUAUGGGGCUUCGUCACCCGCUCUUGUAGGCCCGGCCGGCGCUUGCCGACACAUCAAUCUUUUUUCCAGGUUGACCUCGGAUCAGGUAGGGAUAACCGCUGAACUUAAGCAUAUCAGUAAGCGGAGGA